This is a long non-coding RNA of Triticum dicoccoides, 1053 nucleotides long. RefSeq lists it as uncharacterized. Lineage: Eukaryota; Viridiplantae; Streptophyta; Magnoliopsida; Poales; Poaceae. The record is from RefSeq and is a predicted model, not a curated record. The transcript is spliced from 4 exons.
UCCCCGUCUCAAGAUAGUUCCUGUUGGUGGAUUUUGCAAUGGAUUUGUGCCUCUGAUCCAUGGGUUUGGUGGACUGUAGGACCGCAGUGAUGGAGGAGGUGAACCACAACGAGCUACCAAUGGAGCCGCUGCCCUACCUAGCUGUGGCGACAGGAGCCGAAGAGCUGCCCCCAAUGGCCACAGGUAGCAUUGACGGGCAGGUUUGUGCGGCGUAUGUGGCAGCCGAUAGGCCAAAUUGAUCCAAAAACUCAUGGCUGGACUCGCAGGUCAGCAGGCACGCCGGAGUGAAGCAUAUGUGUUCCCUGGAAUAACAAGUACCCUGACUCGCCUAUUUCGUUUCUUUAUCGCACAUCAUACGCCUAUUUCUAACUGCAUGUAUGUACUACCAAAAACAUACAAUGACUGGAUGAUCUUGUACUACAGUUAGGGCUGCAGGGGAGUCUUCGUGUGCAGCUAAUCUUCGAGGAGGUCCUGCAGCAGGAGGCACCCAGGCACCCAUGCUUCAGGUGCAUCAGCUGGCAAUGGCACUCAAGAGUAUGUUAAUCCAAUAGGGAACAUCCAGCCUGAGCAUCAAGUUUUGCAGUUGGGAAGGGCAACAAUCAGGGUGCUGAACGUAAUGUCAGAGGUUCAGGUGCUGAGUCGGGGUGGAUGAUGAGCAACUUAAGGCUGCAAAUAGGCAUCGUGAGGAUGUGAUGUAUUUUUGCGACAGAAUACUGACGUGCACAAGGAGGGAACUUGACAAGUAAGUUGGAAAAGCUAAUCGCUUGCAAUAAAUGAGAUUGGAGCCGCUGCAUGUCGAAGUAGCAUACUUGAACCUACUGCCAUUUAUGUUAGCAAGCCAAGCUCUCUGGUAAAGAACAGGUGUAGGAUUUUCCGAAAUUAAAUAUAUGAAGAUCGUGUGCACAUAUGAGGACAUAUAGAAAGUUUGUAAAAAAUGGCAAUAGUUUGAACCAUAUGUGGGCUAUCAAGUUUUGUUCAGCAGGUGUGUCGCCCCUCGCCCACCGAGCCCGCCUGUUUCAGAACUUAUACUACAUUUUUUUGCCUCGACAUCUA